UUGGAGGGCAAGUCUGGUGCCAGCAGCCGCGGUGAUUCCAGCUCCAAUAGCGUAUAUUAAAGUCGUUGCAGUUAAAAAGCUCGUAGUUGAAUUUCGGGAUCAAUAUGUUGGUCGUGCCUUGGUACGUACUAUCUUAUUGGUUUCUCCCUUCUGACGAACCAUGAUGUCAUUAAUUUGAUGUCUUGGGGAAUCAGGACUGUUACUUUGAAAAAAUUAGAGUGUUUAAAGCAGGCUCACGCUUGAAUACAUUAGCAUGGAAUAAUGAAAUAGGACGUUUGAUUCUAUUUUGUUGGUUUCUAGGAUCGGCGUAAUGAUUAAUAGGGAUAGUUGGGGGCAUUAGUAUUCAAUUGCCAGAGGUGAAAUUCUUGGAUUUAUUGAAGACUAACUACUGCGAAAGCAUUUGCCAAGGAUGUUUUCAUUAAUCAAGAACGAAAGUUAGGGGAUCGAAGACGAUCAGAUACCGUCGUAGUCUUAACCAUAAACUAUGCCGACUAGGGAUCGGGUGAUGUUAAUUUUUUAAUGACUCAUUCGGCGCCUUACGGGAAACCAAAGUGUUUGGGUUC
Molecule: ribosomal RNA, 563 nt
Filed under: uncultured Glomeromycotina
Lineage: Eukaryota; Fungi; Glomeromycota
Description: SSU rRNA
Rfam family: Eukaryotic small subunit ribosomal RNA
Source: RNAcentral